This 200-nucleotide ribosomal RNA is filed under the name uncultured Glomus. RNAcentral describes it as "partial small subunit ribosomal RNA". It matches the Rfam family "Eukaryotic small subunit ribosomal RNA", at positions 591 to 797 of the family's 1831-position model. The record is from RNAcentral. Lineage: Eukaryota; Fungi; Glomeromycota; Glomeromycetes; Glomerales; Glomeraceae.
CCAAUAGCGUAUAUUAAAGUUGUUGCAGUUAAAAAGCUCGUAGUUGAAUUUCGAGACCGGUUUACUGGUCGUGCUUUUGUACGUACUGGUAUAAUCGGUUUCUCUUUUCUGACGAACUAUAAUGCUAUUAAUUUGGUGUUAUGGGAAAUCAGGACUGUUACUUUGAAAAAAUUAGAGUGUUUAAAGCAGGCUCACGCUUG